RNAcentral lists this ribosomal RNA (159 nucleotides) under uncultured fungus. RNAcentral's name for it is "5.8S ribosomal RNA". It matches the Rfam family "5.8S ribosomal RNA". From Rfam's summary of the family: 5.8S ribosomal RNA (5.8S rRNA) is a component of the large subunit of the eukaryotic ribosome. It is transcribed by RNA polymerase I as part of the 45S precursor that also contains 18S and 28S rRNA. The record is from RNAcentral. Lineage: Eukaryota; Fungi.
ACAACUUUCAGCAACGGAUCUCUUGGCUCUCGCAUCGAUGAAGAACGCAGCGAAAUGCGAUAAGUAAUGUGAAUUGCAGAAUUCAGUGAAUCAUCGAAUCUUUGAACGCACCUUGCGCUCCUUGGUAUUCCGAGGAGCAUGCCUGUUUGAGUGUCAUUU